RNAcentral lists this long non-coding RNA (381 nucleotides) under Rattus norvegicus (Norway rat). Its description in RNAcentral is "long non-coding RNA NONRATT009401". Lineage: Eukaryota; Metazoa; Chordata; Mammalia; Rodentia; Muridae. The record is from RNAcentral.
GAUAGAUGAAGAGAAUGAGGCAAACUUGCUAGCGGUUCUCACAGAGACACUGGACAGUCUCCCGGUGGAUGAAGACGGAUUGCCCUCAUUUGAUGCACUGACAGAUGGAGACGUGACCACUGACAACGAGGCCAGUCCUUCCUCCAUGCCUGACGGCACCCCUCCCCCUCAGGAGGCAGAAGAGCCGUCUCUAGUAAGAACCCUUCCUACUGCUUAACUGUGGUCAGAGUUGCCUCUGGCUGCCCAAUGCAUGACUAUGGUAUAGGAACAGUCAGGUUUCGAUUGUUAAUUCUGACCAAAGUGGGGAAAAAACAUCCACAACCUUCCCUAGAUUUGCCUAUUUUGUAAUUCUCUAUUAAAAAUGUAUAUUUCUUACAUGGU